GUGCUGGGUGGUGGCUCUCGUCAUCCGCGAGGCUUUGUCUGGCAACUGCGGAGCACAAUCCAAGAUAGAAUCAACUGCGAGGAAGCCACAUGCCAUAGUUUGAUCCAAGCCUUAUUGUUCAUCAGAAACCUUGGUGAUCUUUGCCAAGCAAUUGUCCACCGGCCUAGGGUGAGGGAGGUAUCUUAUCCGGCAGCUUGGAGUUGUCCUUGUGAGCCUGUGCGCAAGAAAGGAAAAAAAAUGACACAGACAACUUCGAUUGACAUUUGGAUAUAACUUUCAUUCGAACAAACUGACGAUGAUUUCUUGACCUUGCAUAAGACUAGAUGCAAAGCAAGCCUGGGAAAUUACUACUAUUAGUUUCUGUCUAGAGUCUAGACAACCUACUUGUAACCAAGAAGGAAAUGGUGGAGGAAGAUGGAGAUCUCCAGCUUCGCAAGAUCAUUUCCAGGGCACUGUCUGGUUCCAAGUCCAAAGGGAAGAAACGUGCCAGAUCUCGGCGAGUUACCCUAAAAAUAGUUCAAUAAAAGCUUCAAGUUCAGGUAGCUUGUUAUCAAUAACAAACAAGUUCAGCAUUGCAGUUUGAUGCUUCUAGGAUUAUUCAGAGCGGCAACCCUCUGUAAAUUGAAAUUAUCUGUACCUCCCAUCUUGAUGGGUUAAACUUCUUGGGGUCAGGAUAAACUUCAGGAUCCAUGUGCACACUUCUGUACCACAGUUGAACCUUCCAACCCUUGGGUAUCAAGUAGCCUGUCGGCAUGUGUAGCUAGUUGAGCUGCUGA
Long non-coding RNA from Panicum virgatum (switchgrass), 776 nucleotides. RefSeq lists it as uncharacterized. The transcript has 2 exons. Lineage: Eukaryota; Viridiplantae; Streptophyta; Magnoliopsida; Poales; Poaceae. The record is from RefSeq and is a predicted model, not a curated record.